RNAcentral lists this long non-coding RNA (1512 nucleotides) under Salmo salar (Atlantic salmon). RNAcentral describes it as "lncRNA (ENSSSAG00000094280.1)". The record is from RNAcentral. Lineage: Eukaryota; Metazoa; Chordata; Actinopteri; Salmoniformes; Salmonidae.
GUCUAUUUGAGUGAGCCGUGAGCGCGCACCUAUCCAGGAUUGGUUUCACCUGGCUUAAUGAAUCCGUGUCUGCUCAUCCUGGCUUGGUCUUUGUGCAACCAAUUAAGCCUGGACGCACAUGUUUUGGCUUCAUUGAGCUCAGCUGAGUCAUUUAUCCCGGAUGUCUUAAUUCUACUUUUGUGCAACAGGCCCCAGUACAUUCGGGUCUUUAUUUAUUUAUUUUUAUUUAUAACGGAUGCAUCCUGCCUGUUUGGCCCUGUCCGGGGGUAUAAACAAAUAGUCGGAUAAAUUCAUUUUCAGAUAUAUUACAACCGAUUAAGACGAAACAACAACCAAAUGACUGGCCAAAUGAAGUCAAAAUUAUUGAUGAAAUCGAAGGGUCGAUGGUGAUUUGCGAUUCAAAACGUACAUUUUACCGAUAGUAGUAGUAGGCCAAACACGACGGAAUGCGUUUGAGGUGAUUGCGCCGCCGAGAACAGCACAGCUUCCGUCCCUCUCCUCGCCCCUAUCUGGGCUCGAACCAGGGACCCUCUGCACACAUAGACAACAGCCACCCCCGAAGCAUCGUUACCCAUGACGCUACAAAUGCCGCGGCCCUUACAGGGAAAAGGGAACUACUACUUCAAGGUCUCAGAGCGGGUGACGUCACCGAAUGAAACGCUAUUAUCGCGCACCCCGCUAACUAGCUAGCCAUUUCACAUCAGUUACACUAGCAUGUCCAGCAAAGUACAUCCCCAGUGGCACGCACAUACUUCGUGUAGAUCAGCAGGUGGGGGCUUUUCGUGGCAGCCAGGACCUGAGCCCUAGGACCAUGCCUCAGGACUACCUGGCCUGAUGACUCCUUGCUGUCUCCAGUCCACCUGGCCAUGCUGCUGCUCCAGUUUCAACCGUUCUGCCUGCGGCUAUGGAACCCUGACCUGUUCACUGGACGUGCUACCUGUCCCAGUCCUGCUGUUUUCAACUGUCUAGAGACAGCAGGAGCGGUAGAGAUACUACUCUAAAUGAUGGGCUAUGAAAAGCCAACUGACGUUUACUCCUGAGGUGCUGACCUGUUGCACCCUCGACAACCACUGAUUAUUAUUAUUUGACCCUGCUGGUCAUCUAUGAACAUUUGAACAUCUUGGCCAUGUUCUGUUAUAAUCUCCACCCGGCCCAGCCAGAAGAGGACUGGCCACCCCUCAUAGCCUGGUUUCUUCCUAGGUUCUGCCCUUUCUAGGGAGUUUUUCCUAGCCACCGUGCUUCUAUACCUGCAUUGCUUUCUGUUUGAGGGUUUAGGCUGGGUUUCUGUACAGCACUUUGAGAUAUCAGCUGAUGUAAGAAGGGCUUUAUAAAUACAGUUGAUUUGAAAUAUGACAGGCCUAAUCAUAUUUGUAUGAAUAUUUUGUUAACGCCUAGGCUAUAGCGUUGCAGUCAGUUAAUGAACUCAUUAUGCAUCAACAUUUUAAUUUGAUUACAAUUAUUUAUUGUCAAUGAUUCUUGUAUUUGUUAGGCUUAACAAUUAAGUAGAUUAAU